CUCCCCGCCCGCGCCCCGGCGCCCCCGCGCCCCGCCCGCCGCCCUCACCGCGGCCUGUGCGCUGUCCGGCGCCCCCUCGGCGCUCCCCGCAGGUUCGUGGCCGUGGCCGUGCCGCUGCGCUACAACCGGCAGGGUGGGAGCCGCCGGCAGCUGCUGCUCAUCGGCGCCACGUGGCUGCUGUCCGCGGCGGUGGCGGCGCCC
RNAcentral lists this long non-coding RNA (201 nucleotides) under Homo sapiens (human). RNAcentral describes it as "long non-coding RNA NONHSAT017297.2". Lineage: Eukaryota; Metazoa; Chordata; Mammalia; Primates; Hominidae. The record is from RNAcentral.